RNAcentral lists this unclassified non-coding RNA (62 nucleotides) under Escherichia coli S88. RNAcentral's name for it is "Oop". The record is from RNAcentral. RNAcentral also lists the same sequence under 1 other name. Lineage: Bacteria; Pseudomonadati; Pseudomonadota; Gammaproteobacteria; Enterobacterales; Enterobacteriaceae.
AUGUUGUUAAAAUUCCAUUUGUAUUUGAUCAGAACGCUCGGUUGCCGCCGGGCGUUUUUUAU